Monodelphis domestica (gray short-tailed opossum) is the source of this 107-nucleotide small nuclear RNA. NCBI's taxonomy places the organism in Eukaryota, Metazoa, Chordata, Mammalia, Didelphimorphia, Didelphidae. The record is from Ensembl.
UUGCUUACUUUGGCAACAAAUAUGUUAAAAUUGGAAUGAUACAGAGAAGAUUAUCAUGGCUCUUAGAAAAGGAUGGCAUGCAAAUUCUUGGAGCAUUCAUAUUAUUU